RNAcentral lists this non-coding RNA (79 nucleotides) under human gut metagenome. RNAcentral describes it as "Cyclic di-GMP-I riboswitch". It matches the Rfam family "c-di-GMP-I riboswitch aptamer". From Rfam's summary of the family: GEMM was predicted in a large-scale screen for bacterial structured RNA regulatory elements. Genes associated with GEMM are involved in a diverse array of functions, including chemotaxis regulation, signal transduction, secretion and chitin. The record is from RNAcentral.
UCGAUAAAGGCAAAAUCAAAGUGAUUUGGUGACGCAAAACUAUAGGGUCUUAUAUAAAGAUAAGACAGCCAGCUACCGU